RNAcentral lists this transfer RNA (70 nucleotides) under Magnetospirillum molischianum DSM 120. Its description in RNAcentral is "Phaeospirillum molischianum DSM 120 tRNA-Arg". Lineage: Bacteria; Pseudomonadati; Pseudomonadota; Alphaproteobacteria; Rhodospirillales; Rhodospirillaceae. The record is from RNAcentral.
ACACGCCUAGACAAUUCUCUCCGCCCUCCGAAGGCGGGGGUCACAGGUUCGAAUCCUGUCGGGUGCGCCA